This 64-nucleotide transfer RNA is filed under the name Dendronotus frondosus (frond-aeolis). RNAcentral's name for it is "tRNA-His". The record is from RNAcentral. Lineage: Eukaryota; Metazoa; Mollusca; Gastropoda; Nudibranchia; Dendronotidae.
UAAGGGUUAGUUUAAUUAAAAAUUUUGGUUUGUGGGACCGAGGAUAACAGCGAGUUACUCUUAA